RNAcentral lists this transfer RNA (75 nucleotides) under Pseudomonadota bacterium. Its description in RNAcentral is "tRNA-Pro". It matches the Rfam family "tRNA". From Rfam's summary of the family: Transfer RNA (tRNA) molecules are approximately 80 nucleotides in length. RNAcentral also lists the same sequence under 2 other names. Lineage: Bacteria; Pseudomonadati; Pseudomonadota. The record is from RNAcentral.
CGGGAUGUAGCUCAGCCUGGUCAGAGCGCCGCGUUUGGGACGCGGAGGCCCUCGGUUCGAAUCCGAGCAUCCCGA